UCGUAUGUACUCGUGUGGUGUUUUAGUCACGAUCGUUUAAUCAUAGCAUUCCAAUUUCUAUCCAAUCGGCAUGCACAAACGACGCGCAGUUCAUCUUAUAUGGAGCAAGCCUCAGAAUAUCAGCGUGAUACAAAUGAAAGGAGAUCAUGUUUCUGCUGUUUCAAUUCAACAUCCUCAUCAAAGCGACAACCACGCCUUGUUGAUGUAAUCAUUGUAAUGUCAGGCGAUUUUAAGCCUUCCUCAAACAUGAUUCCUUAAAAAGUUCUUUUUUGUGCGCGGUUGGGUUCUUUCUAUUUAUCGUAGUAUCCAUCGAAACAAAGGAAUACUGUAAUCUGUGCAGAGCGAACUUAAUAUGAUGGUGAUGCUGUGACAACGAUGCAUGCCUGUUUAAUAGGAUAUGUUUAAUUUGAUUGGCGGGUAGUAUAUGCUUAAAACGAUUAUUGCCACAGAAACGAUUCAUGCUAUUUGUUGCUGUUGUUACCAGAAGCUACUGUGUACUAUCGAUUUUUUGUCUCAUAAAAAUAUUUUUCUUCCAUUCCAUAUUUUGCAACACUGACUGUCGAAGACAACGGGAAAAACUGUCACGCGAUCUCCGUCGUUCUGAUUAACAGACCAAGGCUGCUGGGAACAAAGUAUAUUUAAUGCGUUUUCAAUUUUAGUAUUUAUUGACUUAUUUCUAAACGACUAUAAGCAUAUAGAAUGUGAGGGGUAUCGCAUAAGGUAGAAAUAACUUUUUGCAUGAGCGUCCAUACUUGUCCUUGCUACCUGCUAGAGCCCACAUCUCGAUUUCUUGAAAAAAUGUGGAAAAAAUAAUUGUAUUUUUAAA
Xenia sp. Carnegie-2017 is the source of this 826-nucleotide long non-coding RNA. RefSeq lists it as uncharacterized. The transcript has 4 exons. The record is from RefSeq and is a predicted model, not a curated record. NCBI's taxonomy places the organism in Eukaryota, Metazoa, Cnidaria, Anthozoa, Malacalcyonacea, Xeniidae.